GUCGGAUAUGGCGACAUGGUCCCCACCACCAUUGGGGGUAAGAUUGUAGGAUCAUUGUGUGCCAUAGCUGGUGUGUUGACAAUUGCCCUGCCAGUGCCUGUUAUCGUGUCCAAC
Scleropages formosus (Asian bonytongue) is the source of this 114-nucleotide regulatory RNA element. It matches the Rfam family "Potassium channel RNA editing signal". From Rfam's summary of the family: This family represents a group of sequences related to the human potassium channel Kv1.1 hairpin element which directs the efficient modification of an adenosine to inosine by an adenosine deaminase acting on RNA (ADAR). Lineage: Eukaryota; Metazoa; Chordata; Actinopteri; Osteoglossiformes; Osteoglossidae. The record is from Rfam.